This is a non-coding RNA of Cinara cedri, 216 nucleotides long. NCBI's taxonomy places the organism in Eukaryota, Metazoa, Arthropoda, Insecta, Hemiptera, Aphididae. The record is from the annotation of a GenBank genome assembly.
AAUAAAUAUACAUCAUUGUAAAACCUGCAAUAAAACAUUCCUCGCUACGCUCCGAAUCAAAAUAUGUCAAUAAUAAUAAUAUACCUAUAACUAAAUGCGGGUAUCGGGGAGAUGGGAAUAUCCUGAGUGCGUCCAUUUUUUUAUUUUUACUUUUUUAUAGGCCGAGCGCGUCCACAUAUCCGUAUAAGAUUCUUAGACUAAGGUCGGGGCCACUCC